CGCGUAGGUGGUAGUGCAAGUCUGGGGUGGAAUCUUAGGGCUUAACCCUAAAAACUGCCUUGGAAACUGCAUUACUUGAGUCAGUGAGGGGAGGGUAGAAUUCCUGGUGUAGCGGUGAAAUGCGUAGAUAUCAGGAGGAAGGCCUGUGGCGAAGGCGGCCCUCUGGCGCUGAACUGACGCUGAGGCGCGAAAGCGUGGGUAGCAAACAGGAUUAGAUACCCUGGUAGUCCACGCCCUAAACGGUGGGUACUAGGUGUAGGGCUCGUAAGGGUUCUGUGCCGAAGGGAAACCAUUAAGUACCCCGCCUGGGGAGUACGGCCGCAAGGUUGAA
RNAcentral lists this ribosomal RNA (331 nucleotides) under uncultured bacterium. RNAcentral's name for it is "bacterial SSU rRNA". It matches the Rfam family "Bacterial small subunit ribosomal RNA", at positions 568 to 898 of the family's 1533-position model. The record is from RNAcentral.